RNAcentral lists this ribosomal RNA (468 nucleotides) under uncultured bacterium. Its description in RNAcentral is "partial 16S ribosomal RNA". It matches the Rfam family "Bacterial small subunit ribosomal RNA", at positions 28 to 507 of the family's 1533-position model. The record is from RNAcentral.
GGCGAACGCUGGCGGCGUGCUUAACACAUGCAAGUCGAACGGAAAGGCCCUGCUUUUGUGGGGUGCUCGAGUGGCGAACGGGUGAGUAACACGUGAGUAACCUGCCCUUGGCUUUGGGAUAACUUCAGGAAACUGGGGCUAAUACCGGAUAGGAGCUCCUGCUGCAUGGUGGGGGUUGGAAAGUUUCGGCGGUUGGGGAUGGACUCGCGGCUUAUCAGCUUGUUGGUGGGGUAGUGGCUUACCAAGGCUUUGACGGGUAGCCGGCCUGAGAGGGUGACCGGCCACAUUGGGACUGAGAUACGGCCCAGACUCCUACGGGAGGCAGCAGUGGGGAAUAUUGCACAAUGGGCGGAAGCCUGAUGCAGCAACGCCGCGUGCGGGAUGACGGCCUUCGGGUUGUAAACCGCUUUCGCCUGUGACGAAGCGUGAGUGACGGUAAUGGGUAAAGAAGCACCGGCUAACUACGUG